GUACACUCCUACGGGAGGCAGCAGUGGGGAAUUUUGGACAAUGGGCGAAAGCCUGAUCCAGCAAUGCCGCGUGAGUGAAGAAGGCCUUCGGGUUGUAAAGCUCUUUUGUCAGGGAAGAAACGGUGAAAGCUAAUAUCUUUUGCUAAUGACGGUACCUGAAGAAUAAGCACCGGCUAACUACGUGCCAGCAGCCGCGGUAAUACGUAGGGUGCAAGCGUUAAUCGGAAUUACUGGGCGUAAAGCGUGCGCAGGCGGUUUUGUAAGUCUGAUGUGAAAUCCCCGGGCUCAACCUGGGAAUUGCAUUGGAGACUGCAAGGCUAGAAUCUGGCAGAGGGGGGUAGAAUUCCACGUGUAGCAGUGAAAUGCGUAGAUAUGUGGAGGAACACCGAUGGCGAAGGCAGCCCCCUGGGUCAAGAUUGACGCUCAUGCACGAAAGCGUGGGGAGCAAACAGGAUUAGAAACCCCGGUAGUCCCA
This 475-nucleotide ribosomal RNA is filed under the name uncultured organism. Its description in RNAcentral is "partial 16S ribosomal RNA". It matches the Rfam family "Bacterial small subunit ribosomal RNA", at positions 331 to 797 of the family's 1533-position model. The record is from RNAcentral.